RNAcentral lists this ribosomal RNA (332 nucleotides) under uncultured bacterium. RNAcentral's name for it is "bacterial SSU rRNA". It matches the Rfam family "Bacterial small subunit ribosomal RNA", at positions 568 to 898 of the family's 1533-position model. The record is from RNAcentral.
CGUGUAGGCGGUCUUUUAAGUCUGAUGUGAAAGCCCUGGGCUCAACCUGGGAAGUGCAUUGGAAACUGGAAGACUUGAGUACGGGAGAGGGUAGUGGAAUUCCCAGUGUAGGAGUGAAAUCCGUAGAUAUUGGGAGGAACACCGGUGGCGAAGGCGGCUACCUGGACCGAUACUGAUGCUGAGACGCGAAAGCGUGGGGAGCAAACAGGAUUAGAUACCCUGGUAGUCCACGCCGUAAACGAUGAGUACUAGGUGUCGCGGGUAUUGACCCCUGCGGUGCCGCAGCUAACGCAUUAAGUACUCCGCCUGGGAAGUACGGUCGCAAGACUAAA